Molecule: microRNA precursor, 76 nt
Filed under: Tupaia belangeri (northern tree shrew)
Lineage: Eukaryota; Metazoa; Chordata; Mammalia; Scandentia; Tupaiidae
Description: miRNA (ENSTBEG00000019704.1)
Source: RNAcentral
GGGCGUGUGUGUGUGCAUUUGUGUGUGUGUGUGUGUGUGUGUGUGUGUCUCCUCCCUCUCCCGCACAUGCACACAC